AGAAUCAGCAUGCUGGUGCAAAGUGAUCCACUGACACCUAAUGAGCUCCUUCCACUAAUUUUCUUUCUGGGCCUAUUUUCAAUCUUUUUAUAACUAAAAUGUCUUUUAAUUUCUUCAGUGAAUUUGGUACUGGUAGUGGUUACCAAACUGAGAAACCUGGAGAGUUCAAUUAUCUGAUCGAAUCUAUCAAUCUAAUUUCUAAUGCACCCUUCACAUGGUAUCUAGGCAACAUUUAGCCACAGAACAGUUGCAACAUAGGCUACAACAAUGCAAGCUCUCCUUGCCAUUGUGACAUAAUCAGAGUUAUCUAUAGGGACAAGAGGGAAGUCUAGUCUCCAUGGCUUAUUCAACCUUUGUCCUCAUCCCUAUGCUAAGGCUGCCAACACAGAUACCACGGCGGAUGAGAAUGGUUAGUUAACACCGUGGCAGAUUUCAUGCUUGGGGCUCUGUUUUGCCAGCCCCUGACAACCCUCCCUCUCCAAAGUAGCUCCUGUGGCCGGGCAAGGUAAUUUUUCCAGACCCCAGCUUUGCAAUCAGUGAUGACAUCUCUGAAUUUCCAGCUUAGAAAGGACAAAAAAUAAAAUCUCUUCCAGACAAGGUGAAUGUGAGAACAAAUAUUAAAGAAGAGGAAACAAAAGCCCUUCAUUAGAAUGAAAGAUUUUUUCCUGUAACUGAUUUUGUUAGAAACUAUGAUGUUAGAAAAACCAAGUCUGUCUCUCAGCAAAAAAUCUGCCUUUGAUUUUAUUCUCUUUGGGGAAUACUUCAGGGGAAAGAAAACACUCACGGUGAAGCAAAUUCAUAAGAUGUAAACUAUGCUCAUUGUAGCACUUAUUUUUCCUUUAAGCCUGAGGAGGAGCCCUGCCACCAGAAUGUUACAGGAAAAUUGAUUUGAUUUUCUCUGAUUAUCCAUUCAAGAAAACAAAGAUUCAAAAACUGGCAGUGAGAUCAGCAGCUUUUUCUUCUGACAGAGAAGGUGACAGUGAGCACCAGUUUCUGACUUAUACACCGUUUGGAUAUAGAUGACGUGCAUUGUUAACUUUCUGACACAUCCUCUUCCUUAUAACCUGCAUGGCUUCAUAAACAAACAAUACUUCUGAGCCCCAUCUAUGCCUUGAGAAGCUGAGAAAAAAAAUUCUUAUGGACAACGUCGGCUACGUGGGAAUCCUAGUUCAUGUUUGUUCAGAAAUUUUGAGUGAGUGAGAGCAACUACUGAAUCCCAAUGAGGCCCAAGUUCAAUGAAACUCCUGUACCUGCACUUUUGGCUUUGACGGAAUAUGAAAACUUUGCUAAGCUGAAUGCAACAGGAGACACUGAAACUAAACAGCUAGAAGGGUCCCUCUCGUCCACAGUUGCACUAAUAAUAGUGCUGAUCAUUAUUUUCUCUUUGAUAAUGACAUCCUUAGUGACCUACUGUUUCCACAAGUGGCAACUGAGGGGUAAAAAACUGCAGAAAGCGCAAGAGGAAUAUCAGCGAGACCAUGAAAAGAGCAUGUUCCAAAGCAUGUCAGGACUUGUUUCAUAAAAGAAAUCAAUCCAACAUGAAAUAUUCCUGCAUUACCUGAAAGUGAAAAAUAACUAACUACUGGAAGCUACAUAUUGAAACAGCCACCUAAAUAUAUCCUGGUUUUACCUAAUUUGUAAGAAUUUUUAAUGGUUUGGAAAUUUCCAACAGCUUCCUUAUAAAUCAAAAAUAUUCAGUUGUCUCAUCUGUGCAAAGUAAAAUAAAUGCAACCAUGUAUUUUAAUCUGCAUUUUAUUUACUAAAAAACAGUAGGUCAAACCCUGCUGUCCUUAUUCUAUCAAAACUCCCAUGGAAGUCAAGGGGCCAGAGUCUCAGCUCGUUCCAAUCAGCAUAGCUGAUGGGAGUUGAUAGAACUAUGAUGAUUUGCUUUAGCAGAUGAUCUGGCUCAAAUGAGAGCUUUAUCUGAGUAAGGGCCACAGGAUUUUACCCAAUUACCACCUAAUCCUGAAAGCCUUCUGGGGCAGAACUCCCAAAGACUUCAAGAAGAGUUCCAUGCACAGAGGGCUUGCAGGAUUGAGCCCUAUGUUUGCUAGCAGACUGUAUGUUGAUAAUAAUUCCAUUUAUUUUGUUUAGGGUCCAUGGGAAUUGAGGGCACUCAGCACCUCACAUGAUGGUCCCAGAUUUAUUAAGGAGCAUGCAAGCUGAACACACUUUUUUAAAGCUUGCAAUUAUUUUUAACCAGGCUUACAAUGGCGUGUUUCUAUUUUUGUAGCCUGUAAUGUUAUGUCAUGCAAAAGAUGCCGACUCUAU
Mauremys mutica (yellowpond turtle) is the source of this 2271-nucleotide long non-coding RNA. RefSeq lists it as uncharacterized. The transcript is spliced from 3 exons. Lineage: Eukaryota; Metazoa; Chordata; Testudines; Geoemydidae. The record is from RefSeq and is a predicted model, not a curated record.